CCUACGGGUGGCAGCAGUAGGGAAUAUUCGGCAAUGGGGGGAACCCUGACCGAGCAACGCCGCGUGAAGGAAGAAGGAAUUCGUUCUGUAAACUUCUGUUAUAAAGGAAGAAAGACGGAAGGAGGAAAUGACAUCUGAGUGACGGUACUUUAUGAGAAAGCCACGGCUAACUACGUGCCAGCAGCCGCGGUAAUACGUAGGUGGCAAGCGUUAUCCGGAGUUAUUGGGCGUAAAGGGGGAGCAGGCGGCAGCUAAGGUGUGUGGUAAAAGACUGAGGCUUAACUUCGGUAAGCCAUAGAAACCGGGCAGCUAGAGUGCAGGAGAGGGUCGUGGAAUUCCAUGUGUAGCGGUGAAAUGCGUAGAUAUAUGGAGGAACACCGAUGGCGAAGGCGGCGCUCUGGCCUGCAACUGACGCUCAGUCCCGAAAGCGUGGGGAGCAAAUAGGAUUAGAUACCCCAGUAGUC
This 464-nucleotide ribosomal RNA is filed under the name uncultured bacterium. RNAcentral's name for it is "partial 16S ribosomal RNA". It matches the Rfam family "Bacterial small subunit ribosomal RNA", at positions 338 to 795 of the family's 1533-position model. The record is from RNAcentral.